AUACGGAGGAUCCAAGCGUUAUCCGGAUUUAUUGGGUUUAAAGGGUGCGUAGGCGGCUUAUUAAGUCAGGGGUGAAAGACGGUGGCUCAACCAUCGCAGUGCCCUUGAUACUGAUGAGCUUGAAUACACUAGAGGUAGGCGGAAUGUGACAAGUAGCGGUGAAAUGCAUAGAUAUGUCACAGAACACCGAUUGCGAAGGCAGCUUACUAUGGUGUUAUUGACGCUGAGGCACGAAAGCGUGGGGAUCAAACAGGAUUAGAUACCCUGGUAGUCCACGCCCUAAACGAUGAAUACUCGCUGUUAGCGAUAUACAGUUAGCGGCUAAGCGAAAGCGUUAAGUAUUCCACCUGGGGAGUACGCCCGCAAGGGUGAA
RNAcentral lists this ribosomal RNA (373 nucleotides) under uncultured bacterium. Its description in RNAcentral is "bacterial SSU rRNA". It matches the Rfam family "Bacterial small subunit ribosomal RNA", at positions 523 to 898 of the family's 1533-position model. The record is from RNAcentral.